This 559-nucleotide small RNA is filed under the name Arabidopsis thaliana (thale cress). RNAcentral describes it as "ATSL022800". The record is from RNAcentral. Lineage: Eukaryota; Viridiplantae; Streptophyta; Magnoliopsida; Brassicales; Brassicaceae.
AUUUCUCCACAUGUUAAAUCACAGUAGCAUUCAUUUUGCUAACAUAAAAUUAUCACAUAGACACAGAUUUUACCUUUUAACACAAUAAGAAAGCAUUUCUAAAAAUCAACGGCUACUAGAUUUGCCUAUCUCAGAGACUUGACAUCUUAUAAAGAUGUAUGGUGUGUCCAAGUUAAGAGAUCAUGAAUUCAUGAACAAUAUAUAGUUAAAUAUGGGGAGAUUCGUCGAUAUAUUGUUCAUAUAUUGUGCAGAGAGCGCAAUUGUUACAUGCUACUAACGCUAAAGAAACCUUAGUUCUACUUCUCUUCUGCAUCUAGCUGGUUGAAAUUCGUUCGUACUCUCCUUUUGCAUCGUUUGGUGAUCUUGAAGAGCUCUGAUUUCAUACCCAAAUAUGUUAUCUAGUUUCGUUUCAGUGAUUAUACCUGAUUUCUCUUCAGUGUUUUCUUUUAUGAAUUCUUGUAAGGUUUCUUUGUGUUUGUAUUCCAUGGAAAUCAUAACUGAAGAAUUGGCUUGUUUGAGUCAAUCUAGUUUAGACGUCGACAAAAAAAAAAACUACAAA